AUUGAACGCUGGCGGCAUGCCUUACACAUGCAAGUCGAACGGCAGCACGGGACCUUGCUCCUGGUGGCGAGUGGCGAACGGGUGAGUAAUACAUCGGAACGUACCCUGAAGUGGGGGGAUAACGUAGCGAAAGUUACGCUAAUACCGCAUAUUCUGUGAGCAGGAAAGAGGGGGAUCGCAAGACCUCUUGCUUUAGGAGCGGCCGAUGUCGGGUUAGCUAGUUGGUGAGGUAAAGGCUCACCAAGGCGACGAUCCGUAGCGGGUCUGAGAGGAUGAUCCGCCACACUGGGACUGAGACACGGCCCAGACUCCUACGGGAGGCAGCAGUGGGGAAUUUUGGACAAUGGGCGCAAGCCUGAUCCAGCCAUGCCGCGUGAGUGAAGAAGGCCUUCGGGUUGGUUAAAGGAC
This 408-nucleotide ribosomal RNA is filed under the name uncultured bacterium. RNAcentral describes it as "bacterial SSU rRNA". It matches the Rfam family "Bacterial small subunit ribosomal RNA", at positions 30 to 433 of the family's 1533-position model. The record is from RNAcentral.